This 1241-nucleotide long non-coding RNA is filed under the name Homo sapiens (human). RNAcentral's name for it is "HSALNT0309707". Lineage: Eukaryota; Metazoa; Chordata; Mammalia; Primates; Hominidae. The record is from RNAcentral.
CCUGGUCCUGCCCCGCCCCUCCCGGGCUGUCCAUCACCACCCCUCCGGCCCCCGCCGGAAAGAGGACCUGGAGGAAAAGACCCCUCAGGCUCCGGCCGCAGCUCCACCCGCAGGGGCCGUGGGAAGCGGGCGCUCCGGGGAGGAUGCCGCGCCCAGUAGGGGUCGACCCGAAGAGGGGGUCCCCUCCGGGGGGGGACCUGCCCGGGGCUGGGCGAGGGUAUGAGUUCCCGGCUCCCCCACAUCCAUCACCCUCAGGCCACGCUGAGCUUCCUGGACGCGGAAGCCUAGGCCCCAGCACCGCUGCACCUGCCGGCCGGGCACCCCACUAACGCGGCAUCCCGAGAAGGGCCGACUUCCAGGACGACGCAGCUGCGUGCACACAGCCCCCCUUGGCCCGGUGCGGCGGCCCGCAGGGGAGAACGAGCUUGCAGGGUGCGGGUGCGGGCCGCUGGGGCCGAUCUGGCGUCGCAGAACCCGGGGUCCACACCGUCCAGGCUGCGGCCGCGACGACCCCCUGCCAGGCGCCGGUCUCCUCCGGGAGGGCUCCAGCCCGCGCCACCUCCAGGCACAGGGCGCCCUCGUAACUCCCAAUGAAAGUCCUGCGGGAAACGGUUCCCGACCUCGCCAGGCUGGGGGCAGAAGCGACGGGAUGACGCGGAUUGUAAUCGGAAGGUAGAAGCAACCCAAGUGUCCACUGAUGGCUGAAUGGAGAAACACAAUGUAGUAUAGAUACAUAGUGGAAUUUAACUCAGAAUUAAAAAGGAAGGAAAUGCUGUCAUCUGCUAAAAUGUGAGAAAACCUUGAGGACAUCAUGCUAAGUGAAAUCAGCUAGUCACAAAAGGACAAAUGCUGUAUGAUUCCAACUAGAUGAGGUACCUCAUACUAUUCAUCAAGACAAAGUAGAAUGAUGGGUGCCAGGGCUGGAUGGAGAAGAGAAUGGGGAGUCAGCGUUUAAUGGGGGCAGAGUUUCAGUUCUGCAAGAUGAAGAAGUUCUGGGGAUGGCUGGUGGUGCUGGCUGCACAAGAGGGAGGAAGACGAAAGCCAGCGCAGAGUUUCCCCAGAAAACAGGAGCCAGAUGGUGCGAAUCCAACAGACUCCACGUGAAAUCAGCCACACCAAAGGUCAGGAGAUCUGUGUGGAGAGAAACUUUCAGAGAAGGCAACCAGGGCACAUCUCUGUUUUAAAACCAUCUCCUGGGCCGGGCACUGUGGCUCACGCCUGUAAUCCCAGCACUUUGGGAG